This 69-nucleotide transfer RNA is filed under the name Streptomyces phage Rowa. RNAcentral describes it as "tRNA-Trp". The stretch from base 7 to 68 matches the Rfam family "tRNA", at positions 6 to 65 of the family's 71-position model. From Rfam's summary of the family: Transfer RNA (tRNA) molecules are approximately 80 nucleotides in length. Their secondary structure includes four short double-helical elements and three loops (D, anti-codon, and T loops). Lineage: Duplodnaviria; Heunggongvirae; Uroviricota; Caudoviricetes. The record is from RNAcentral.
AUGGAACGUAGCUCAAUUGGCAGAGCGCCGGUCUCCAAAACCGGAGGUUGCAGGUUCGACCCCUGCCGG